GGGGAAUAUUGCACAAUGGGGGAAACCCUGAUGCAGCGACGCCGCGUGGAGGAAGAAGGUCUUCGGAUUGUAAACUCCUGUUGUUGAGGAAGAUAAUGACGGUACUCAACAAGGAAGUGACGGCUAACUACGUGCCAGCAGCCGCGGUAAAACGUAGGUCACAAGCGUUGUCCGGAAUUACUGGGUGUAAAGGGAGCGCAGGCGGGAGAACAAGUUGGAAGUGAAAUCCAUGGGCUCAACCCAUGAACUGCUUUCAAAACUGUUUUUCUUGAGUAGUGCAGAGGUAGGCGGAAUUCCCGGUGUAGCGGUGGAAUGCGUAGAUAUCGGGAGGAACACCAGUGGCGAAGGCGGCCUACUGGGCACCAACUGACGCUGAGGCUCGAAAGUGUGGGUAGCAAACAGGAUUAGAUACCCUGGUAGUCCACACCGUAAACGAUGAUUACUAGGUGUUGGAGGAUUGACCCCUUCAGUGCCGCAGUUAACACAAUAAGUAAUCCACCUGGGGAGUACGACCGCAAGGUUGAAACUCAAAGGAAUUGACGGGGGCCCGCACAAGCAGUGGAGUAUGUGGUUUAAUUCGACGCAACGCGAAGAACCUUACCAAGUCUUGACAUCCCUUGACGAACAUAGAAAUAUGUUUUCUCUUCGGAGCAAGGAGACAGGUGGUGCAUGGUUGUCGUCAGCUCGUGUCGUGAGAUGUUGGGUUAAGUCCCGCAACGAGCGCAACCCUUAUGGUCAGUUACUACGCAAGAGGACUCUGGCCAGACUGCCGUUGACAAAACGGAGGAAGGUGGGGAUGACGUCAAAUCAUCAUGCCCUUUAUGACUUGGGCUACACACGUACUACAAUGGCGUUAAACAAAGAGAAGCAAGACCGCGAGGUGGAGCAAAACUCAGAAACAACGUCCCAGUUCGGACUGCAGGCUGCAACUCGCCUGCACGAAGUCGGAAUUGCUAGUAAUCGUGGAUCAGCAUGCCACGGUGAAUACGUUCCCG
Molecule: ribosomal RNA, 995 nt
Filed under: uncultured bacterium
Lineage: Bacteria
Description: bacterial SSU rRNA
Rfam family: Bacterial small subunit ribosomal RNA
Source: RNAcentral